GAUGAACGCUGGCGGCGUGCCUAAUACAUGCAAGUCGAGCGAACGGACGAGAAGCUUGCUUCUCUGAUGUUAGCGGCGGAAGGGUGAGUAACACGUGGAUAACCUACCUAUAAGACUGGGAUAACUUCGGGAAACCGGAGCUAAUACCGGAUAAUAUUUUGAACCGCAUGGUUCAAAAGUGAAAGACGGUCUUGCUGUCACUUAUAGAUGGUUCCGCGCUGCAUUAGCUAGUUGGUAAGGUAACGGCUUACCAAGGCAACGAUGCAUAGCCGACCUGAGAGGGUGAUCGGCCACACUGGAACUGAGACACGGUCCAGACUCCUACGGGAGGCAGCAGUAGGGAAUCUUCCGCAAUGGGCGAAAGCCUGACGGAGCAACGCCGCGUGAGUGAUGAAGGUCUUCGGAUCGUAAAACUCUGUUAUUAGGGAAGAACAUAUGUGUAAGUAACUGUGCACAUCUUGACGGUACCUAAUCAGAAAGCCACGGCUAACUACGUG
Molecule: ribosomal RNA, 497 nt
Filed under: uncultured bacterium
Lineage: Bacteria
Description: partial 16S ribosomal RNA
Rfam family: Bacterial small subunit ribosomal RNA
Source: RNAcentral